Long non-coding RNA from Columba livia (rock pigeon), 2116 nucleotides. RefSeq lists it as uncharacterized. The record is from RefSeq and is a predicted model, not a curated record. The transcript is spliced from 3 exons. NCBI's taxonomy places the organism in Eukaryota, Metazoa, Chordata, Aves, Columbiformes, Columbidae.
GAAGGGGAAGCACAAGGUACCAGUGAGGUGAUUAUAGUAAAUAGCUACAAAAUUUCACCAUCUUUUGAGUUUUGUUGGUAGUGUGGGAAAGGUAAAUUUCUGGAAGAUUCAAUGCAGUUUUGUGGGUAUUUAUUUGCAGACCCUUCCAGGCUUGACAAAGAUUGCUGGAGAAGGUACAACGCAGAUGGUAAAACAGGAAAGGUUUGGUGUUCAUUUUUCUUUUGAGGAUUCCCUUAGGAAGGAAACUGAAGGUGCCAAGGCAGAGACUCAAGCCAUGGAUGUUUUGCCUGGAGCAAACAAGAUCAAACAGGAUGAAACUCCACCAGGGACAGGUCAACAAAAUGGCUUGAGAUGACAACGAAAUGAAAAACAUCACUGCUGGGAUUUUUUUGGAAAAAAAAAGAAAAUGCGUAAUGGGAAUCUUUGAAGAUUUGUAGAAGUUGCCACCCUCAGGAGCCACCUGACUCAUUGACUUCUUGCCAAUGAAGCCUGGUGAGCUAGACUUCCCUCCUACCUACGCUGUUACGUUUCAUUUUCCUCUCUCUCAUGUCUAAUUCAACUCAAUAUCCACUGUUUAAUUUUAACAAGACUGUAUAAUGUUUCCUUUUAAAAAAGUUUUCUUCCACAGUGCUUCAUUAUGAGGUCUGAAUUACUCAAUCCCUUCCUUUUGUCUCUUUUGUUUGUUUUAGCCUCUUCCCUCCUCUCCUGUAUUGAUAUUGGAUGAUAAGAAAACAUACAAAGCAUACAAAUACUUAUAAAAAAACCACAAAAACAACACAACAACAACUUUUUCCAUUUGUGCUUCCUCCUGGACAGUGCAGCUUUUCAUUUCUGUGCCUGUGAAGUGUCCAAAUGUCACCUGAAAAAAAAAAAAAAAAAAAAGUAUAAAGCUACAUAGCUAUUUUUGAGGGAUUUUUUUAAAACUGACGAGCAAUGGGCCCAGAAAAACUGUAAACAUCUGUACUGAAACUUGUAAUUCACCAUUCUGCUAUUACUGGCUUUGCUUUAAAAUAGGUGAAAGUCAGAGAGGAUGAUUUUUUUUUUCUCUGUAGAUAUUCAGGAGAAUUUUCUACUCUGUCACUGAGCUGUUCAGCUACUCCAGUGACGAGUUCAGUAGGAAAAAAGCUGUGCAGCUAGACAGAUGAGAUGGAAAUGUUGGCAUCAUUGCACUGUAUUAAACAAGCUCUACGAUUACACUCGCCAGAGUUUCUCUUUGAAUUUAAUGGAAAAGUUUAUAUUGAUGGAAUGCCUGAUUAAUAGGGAUUUAUAAUAGAAGCUCUGGUAAUGUGGAAAGCAUAUAAAUCUCAUAUGUCUGUAUCUAUUGCCUGUCUUUACUAGAUAAUUUUCACUUGGUUCAGGAUUUAACUCUAGUAGGAAACAACUUUUGUGGAUGAAAAUCUAAUGGCCAUAACAAGAAAGCAGCACCACAAUUUGCAAUUUUGUUAAAUACUUACUUGAAAAGCCCUUCAGGUUGCUUGCAGUCACAGGAAAUAAUUAGAUUAAAAUACAUAUUUAUUUUCAGCUUUGGGAGUCUUCAGAUUUAGCAGCUUCCUGACAUUAAUGCAGUUCCCUGUCUCAAACUGAGUCUCUAAAGCCAGCUCAGGAUCUGACACAGUACAAGUUGUUUGAAUCCUUACGUCGUUUUUGUCCCUGUUUGUUUUAUGCUCCCACACAUUUUGCUAUUGUAGAGCCAUCCAUGGAUCUACACUGGCAUAAAACUGGUGUGGGAGGGCAGAAAAUCAGGCUAUUAUUUUAUGCCUGGGCUCCUCUGGUUUUGCAUGUACUCAACUCCUCCUGGCCCCAGCAGCAAUGCUGGGGUAGACCUGGGACCAGUUUGGAUGGCUCCUGCUGAGGGAAAACCUCACAAGAGCUCAGUGUCCAAGCCAAGACUGUGUAGUACCAUCACUUUUUUACUUAGGGUAGAUAGAAGUUAGAGGCUUCUGAUUUAAUUAAUAUGCUAACCUCAUACUUCCACCAAAGGUACUUGGUAUGGAUAAAGUAAAUUCACUAGCCAGCAUACAUGAGCUAUUUAAUUUUGCAACCAUUUCUGCCUUCAAGAUCUUAGAUUCAAUCUGAUUUUAUAAGGCUUACUGGAGCUUCCCUGCUUCAUGCCAGA